GACGAACGCUGGCGGCGUGCUUAACACAUGCAAGUCGAACGCUGAAGCACCAGCUUGCUGGUGUGGAUGAGUGGCGAACGGGUGAGUAAUACGUGAGUAACCUGCCCUUGACUCUGGGAUAAGCCCGGGAAACUGGGUCUAAUACUGGAUGCUACAUGUCACCGCAUGGUGGUGUGUGGAAAGGGUUUACUGGUCUUGGAUGGGCUCACGGCCUAUCAGCUUGUUGGUGAGGUAAUGGCUCACCAAGGCGACGACGGGUAGCCGGCCUGAGAGGGUGACCGGCCACACUGGGACUGAGACACGGCCCAGACUCCUACGGGAGGCAGCAGUGGGGAAUAUUGCACAAUGGGCGAAAGCCGGAUGCAGCGGCGCCGCGGGAGGGAUGACGGCCUUCGGGUUGUAAACCUCUUUCAGCAGGGAAGAAGCCACAAGUGACGGUACCUGCAGAAGAAGCGCCGGCUAACUACGUG
RNAcentral lists this ribosomal RNA (470 nucleotides) under uncultured bacterium. RNAcentral describes it as "partial 16S ribosomal RNA". It matches the Rfam family "Bacterial small subunit ribosomal RNA", at positions 28 to 507 of the family's 1533-position model. The record is from RNAcentral.